UAUCGGUGAUGCAGUCAAUAUUUGAGAAGAGACUUGAAUCUCUCCCAUGCAUGCCAGAGAUUUUCAUCUGGCUUCUACUUGAAACUUAAUAUCUCGCACCUCAACCU
This is a non-coding RNA of Capsicum annuum, 107 nucleotides long. The record is from Rfam. Lineage: Eukaryota; Viridiplantae; Streptophyta; Magnoliopsida; Solanales; Solanaceae.